UAACCCAAAAAAAUUUGGCGCAAAACUAACAAAUACAAAAAAAAUUUAAAUAAGGAUAGUUUUCAUAUUUAAAUUAAGUUUAUAAGAACGCAGCCUAAACAAACCCAAAUCUUAUUUUGUGUUAGACGAGGUUUACAUGACAGGAUCCACGCUUGUGGGAGUUAGGUUGUACCAAUUGAAAGUUUUGGGUGGAAAAUGAUACUUAUUGUAAAUUACGAGCGCAAAAAGUGUAGUUUCGCUACUUUAGGCUGGUCGGUUCCUCCACCACCGUGGCUAUAAAUAUGAAGAUGAGAUUCCUACUUUCCCAGGGCACGAAAGGAAGAGAGACCAAAAGAGGAUUUGUUUGGGUUCCUGAAUUUUGAUAUUCUUUUUCCUCAAUUGUUAUCUUUUUUUCUGUUUUGAAAAUCAGCACGUCUUUUGGAGGCAAGAUUCGAAGUGAUGUUUCGUUCGCUGCUAACACGUAUGAAUGCUAUUCCAACACCCAAACUCGUCAACAUAUGUGUUUGUGUACUCAUCACCGAUAUGUUUGUCGAUGUGGGGUCUACGUUGGCAGAUUACUGGUUCUUUACCAAGAGGCAGGAUGCCUUGAGGGACGCAUCUAGUCGAAGGUGGCAGGAUGCCUUGAGGGACGCAUCUAGUCGAAGAGAUUGAAGUUAGAGAUGCACAACCCUAAAUACUUGCAUCUGCAGUCUUGUUUAUCAUGGUUCUGUUUAUAAAGAUAAUGUAAGACAACUAACAAUGCAUUUACUAUGGUUGUCCUAUUUUGCUUGUGGGAAGGGGGUUGUCAUGUGAUGGUUGCUUCCUGCUACAUUGUUUAUUUUGCUAGAGCAAAAGAAGAGAAAAGAGACCUUUGUUACUUGUAAUCUUUGAUCUAAGCUAUAGUAUUCAGCUAUAUAAUGCUGAAAAUUUUCAGUU
Molecule: long non-coding RNA, 915 nt
Organism: Rhododendron vialii
Lineage: Eukaryota; Viridiplantae; Streptophyta; Magnoliopsida; Ericales; Ericaceae
Exons: 5
Source: RefSeq, a predicted model, not a curated record